Molecule: ribosomal RNA, 252 nt
Filed under: uncultured bacterium
Lineage: Bacteria
Description: partial 16S ribosomal RNA
Rfam family: Bacterial small subunit ribosomal RNA
Source: RNAcentral
UACGUAGGGCGCAAGCGUUAUCCGGAAUUAUUGGGCGUAAAGAGCUCGUAGGCGGUUUGUCGCGUCUGCCGUGAAAGUCCGGGGCUCAACUCCGGAUCUGCGGUGGGUACGGGCAGACUAGAGUGCGGUAGGGGAGACUGGAAUUCCUGGUGUAGCGGUGAAAUGCGCAGAUAUCAGGAGGAACACCGGUGGCGAAGGCGGGUCGCUGGGCCGUAACUGACGCUGAGGAGCGAAAGCGUGGGAGCGAACAGG